Molecule: long non-coding RNA, 858 nt
Filed under: Equus caballus (horse)
Lineage: Eukaryota; Metazoa; Chordata; Mammalia; Perissodactyla; Equidae
Description: lncRNA (ENSECAG00000051499.1)
Source: RNAcentral
UGACAAUAAUGUACAACUGAAAUUUCACGAGGCUGUAAACUAUCAUGAUCUCAACAAAAAGUUUUUAAAAAAUUUUUCAUCAGCUUUGCUAGAGAAAAGGCUGAACUAUCUUUGUGUUCUCUGUGUAGGAAAUGAUCUUCAACCUCAUUGUGGAGUGUUUUUGAGAACACCCUGUUACCGAACCUGAAGUGAGUUUGCUCACCCAUUGCGCGGCAAGCCAAUCUCUGACGCCGGGUUUGGUGGAAGAAAGUAGAAAUUUUAUUUUUGCACAGCGCUGAGCAAGAAGAGAGGGCAGCUAACGCUCAAAUCCCAAACUCCCCGAAAAGCUAAAAGGAAGGGUUUUUAUUUGGGGUUUUAGGUGGGGGAGGGGGAGCAUAUGGCCUUGCUGGUCGGACCUUUCCCACCAGCCUGUCUUUGGCCUUGAGACACUUGUAGAGAGGAGGGAGCUCAUGACCUUGCUGGUCAGCAGCUUUCCCACCAGCCCGUAUCUCUUUGCGGGAGGAGAUAGUCCAGGUGCUUGUCCUUGGCGGGGUCUGUCUCCGUGGAGGAUAGUGGAUUCUGGAGCCAGGAAGCCAGAGACUAUCCUUUGAUAUCUACUUUAACCAAAAUGUAUGUAAUAAAUUCUGCAAGGAUCUACGCAAAAAAGGUUACCUGAGGGAAACAAAUUCAGGUGAUUUUUACCAUCUUGUUUACCGCUUUUUAAAAACAAUUUUUUCCCAACAGCCAUCCAGAUCCUUAUUUUUAAAAAGUUACUACAUAGAAAUAUUGUUUGAUAAAAGCUACACACACACACAACUUAUAACGCAGUACAGUUUGAAAUAGUUCUGUAAUUUUCCGAUUUAAACGCUUGAGUACGCC